RNAcentral lists this ribosomal RNA (361 nucleotides) under uncultured bacterium. Its description in RNAcentral is "bacterial SSU rRNA". It matches the Rfam family "Bacterial small subunit ribosomal RNA", at positions 288 to 661 of the family's 1533-position model. The record is from RNAcentral.
CGGCCUGAGAGGGUGUCCGGCCACACUGGGACUGAGAUACGGCCCAGACUCCUACGGGAGGCAGCAGUGGGGAAUAUUGCACAAUGGGCGCAAGCCUGAUGCAGCGACGCCGCGUGGGGGAUGACGGCCUUCGGGUUGUAAACCUCUUUCAGCAGGGACGAAGCGCAAGUGACGGUACCUGCAGAAGAAGCACCGGCCAACUACGUGCCAGCAGCCGCGGUAAUACGUAGGGUGCGAGCGUUGUCCGGAAUUACUGGGCGUAAAGAGCUCGUAGGUGGUUUGUCGCGUUGUUCGUGAAAACCGGGGGCUUAACCCUCGGCGUGCGGGCGAUACGGGCAGACUAGAGUACUGCAGGGGAGAC